This 484-nucleotide ribosomal RNA is filed under the name uncultured bacterium. RNAcentral describes it as "partial 16S ribosomal RNA". It matches the Rfam family "Bacterial small subunit ribosomal RNA", at positions 28 to 523 of the family's 1533-position model. The record is from RNAcentral.
GACGAACGCUUGCGGCGUGCUUAACACAUGCAAGUCGAACGAUGAACCCGGAGCUUGCUCCGGCGGAUUAGUGGCGAACGGGAGAGUAACACGUUAGUAACCUGCCCUUGACUCUGGAAUAACUGCUAGAAAUGGUAGCUAAUACCGGAUACGACCCUCGGUGGCAUCACCAGGGGGUGGAAAGAAUUUCGGUCAAGGAUGGACUAGCGGCCUAUCAGCUAGUUGGUGAGGUGAGGGCUCACCAAGGCGCCGACGGGUAGCCGGCCUGAGAGGGUGACCGGCCACACUGGGGAUGAGACAGGGCCCAGACUCCUACGGGAGGCAGCAGUGGGGAAUAUUGCACAAUGGGAGCAAGCCUGAUGUAGCAACGCCGCGUGAGGGAUGACGGCCUUCGGGUUGUAAACCUCUUUUAGUAGGGAAGAAGCGAUAGUGACGGUACAUGCAGAAAAAGCACCGGCUAACUACGUGCCAGCCGCCGCCGUAA